CCCCUUUCAGGAUUGUGCCUGGAGAGUUUCCAAUACUCUAAUAGCCUCAACUACAUGAGGGAGAGUCAAGCAGAGGCAUACCCAUUCUAUUCCUAACUUGGGCAGUGGCUAGUGAGUGGAAGACAAUCUGCUACAAGU
Molecule: small nucleolar RNA, 138 nt
Organism: Ornithorhynchus anatinus (platypus)
Lineage: Eukaryota; Metazoa; Chordata; Mammalia; Monotremata; Ornithorhynchidae
Source: RefSeq, a predicted model, not a curated record